Molecule: non-coding RNA, 231 nt
Organism: Vicia faba (fava bean)
Lineage: Eukaryota; Viridiplantae; Streptophyta; Magnoliopsida; Fabales; Fabaceae
Source: the annotation of a GenBank genome assembly
AUGGCACUGCCGCCGCGACACACCACCUCGCCACCACCGAUCAUACAGCAAAUGGUGAAUUUGUUGCGGGUUGUGAGAGGUUUAUUAGCCUUGAAAAUCAAUUUCCAGCAGACUGAACAAGAAAACUUGACUCAACAAACCAAUGACAACACAAGGGGGAUAAGUGAUUAUAUAGAGGCAACUCAGCUUCAUCUACUCUGUUUAUCAAUGAUAUUUGAUUUGAAGAAUUAA